CUAUUCACAGGCUCUCUCCUUCCACAUCUCUCCCUCUCUGUGACACAGAAGAGAACCAAUGAGGAUGGCACGGCAGAGCCUAGGGCAACCCUAAGUAUCCUUCUAGCUGUUACAUGUCCCAGGCUUGCCCUUUACAUCUGGGGCCACAUUGUAUACAGAUGACUACAUGCUGCACUGCAUUGAUUUACUCAAUGUACUGCUCUUUUAGAUGGCCUCCUGAAUUUCAAACAAGGGAAGAACAGCAAGAUGGAAGAAUUCUCCAGUUUCUGUACUCUGCAGGAUUUCUGAAGUUCUACCUUAAAGUUCUACCUGGCUUUUGGGAACCUGUUCUCCAUGCUGGAUUACUUUCACCAACCUUGAUGCAGGGAGAGGAGCUUGGUCCUGCCUUUAACUUGAUAUGCCAUGCUUUGUUCAAGCCCAAUCGGACGCCUGCUUCUUUCUGAAUAGAGACUGAGAAGUGGAUGGGAGACAGGUAUAUUGGUACUGGGGGUGGGGGGCAAAAGGAAAGGAGGGAAGGGAAACUUGUCAGUAUGUAAAAAAAAAAAUGAAAAACUGUUAAUAAGACUAAAUUUAUCGCCGGGCAUUGGUGGCGCAUGCCUUUAAUCCCAGCUCUCAGGAGGCAGAGGCAAAUGGAUCUCUAUGAGUUCAAGGCCAGCCUGGUCUCCAGAGAGAGUGCCAGGAUAGGCUCCAAAAGCUACACAGAGAAAUCCUGUCUCGAAAAACAAUCAAACAAAAAAGAUUAAAUUUAUCUUAAAAGAAGUUCCUGGAUAUGUUGGAUAUUAGUUACCUGAACAACUUGUGGAAUUUUUCCAUUGUGAAAAUUGUCUCUUUUUGCUGUUUGUUUCAUGGAAUUGAUGCAUCAUAGUUUGAAACAAUUUCUUUUGUCUAUUUCUACUUUUGUUUCCUGUACUUUGGAGGUCUUAGAAAAAAAUCGGUUGCCUAUAAUGAUAUUUUGAAUUAUUCUGCACCUUAAACGUCUGGGUGUGAACGCAAGAAUGCUCACUGAUUUCUGUGUUUAGGAUCACAGUGACCAGCAUGCCUUUCCACAGUUGUUCAGAGUGUCUCUUCCGGAGAGACACAUGGAGAAUCCUAUACUGACUAACGCGUUCUCAGGCAAACAUUGUUUGAGAAGCUUUAACUUUCUGGCAUGGUUUAUAUACAGAUCCUUUCAUGUUACACUUGUCAGUCUCAACCCCUGGGCGUAAACCCAUGAAAACUGAAGAGUAAUUUUAAAUGUGUAUUCUCCUAGCACACAGUGUGUCCACUAAGAACUAUAUAAUCACAACCAUAUACUAAAACUGACUGUUCACAGCUUCCCUCUCUUAUAGAGAGAACAGUUUUAUUCUCUUAGUUCUCACCACCACAACUUAUUGAAAAAAAAUAAUCAAAGCAAUGCUUAUAAACAAAUCAAAGCAAUGUUUAUAAAACUCAGACUUUUAAAGAAUUUUUAAUUCAAUGUUUGCCUUUGAAACUCAUUAAUUUUUCUAUGGUAUUUCAAUGUGACCACUAGAAUUGGGACAAUGCCACUCCCAUAGUAUACUCAUUGCUGCUCAUUGCCCUCACUCUCCUUCUCUGUCACACAGUUUAUAUAGCCUGUGCCGGCCACUCCAACAGGCAUUGUGUAUACAUUCUUUUAUUUCAUUUUCAAAACAUCCUGAAAAAAUAUUAUCCUCCCUCCUUAGUAAGGUCGAAUGAAGAUUCUGGGGCAUUAAGUAAAAUACACUCUGAAACAAGUAGCACUCACUGCUGUGGGUUGGGUCAGCAUGCUUCCCUGUCUCUAUUUUUAUAAAGUAAGGUAACACAUUGUGUUUAAUCAAAUGACACAAAAAGUAAGCCUCCACUGAAGCAGGUUUCGGCUUUAUAAUGAUGGGAAAGUAUAUACUUUCAAUAGACAUCAUGCUUAAAGUUUGAGUUUUGACCUUUCCCUGAGUAUUAUAUGCUAGCAAAGAGUAUUAUACGCUCUCCCAGCACUGUCCACAGCUCUGAGCUUCAGCUUCUUGUCACCUGCACCAUCACCAGGAGACGCUGCUAUUCUGCAGUUGACUGUGCUAUGAAUGGCUGAGGUAAAUGCACUUUCACUUUAGUGAGAUUCUUUUCAACUCACAAUAGGUUUAUCAGAAUAUAUCCCCAUUGUAAAGAGAGGAGCAUUUGUAUUACAUAAAAAUGAGCAUAUUAGCCGGGCGUUGGUGGCGCACGCCUUUAAUCCCAGCACUCGGGAGGCAGAGACAGGUGGAUCUCUGUGAGUUCAAGGCCAGCCUGGCCUCCAAAGCGAGUGCCAGGAUAGGCUCCAAAGCUACACAGAGAAACCCUGUCUUGAAAAAACCAAAAAACGAAGGGCAUAUUAAAUAUGCUAUACAGUUAUAUAUCAUCAUUUAUAUAUACUCUUGCUUAUGCAUAUAAAUAUGUGUUAUAUAUUGUUAUUCAUAUGCAUAAUCAAUAAUGUACAACUUGGUUAUAAGUCAUAUAAGCAUAAAUAUAUUUUAUUAGAAAAUUAUAUAACUGUAUUAGUCAGACUUUUAGCUGUUUCUUAAAAAUAUUUGAGAUAAAAAUUAUUAAAAUAUUUGCUCAGCUCAUUGUUCCACAGCUUUCAGUCUAUAGCUGGUUGCCCCAUAACUCAAGUCAAACAUCAUGAUACUUGAGGCAUGAAAUGAUGAAAGUUUCUUUGUCCUCAUGGUUAACAGUGAUCAAAGAUGUAAAAUGGACCCUGGGAACCAGACAUAACUUUCAAAAUCUCAGUUGCUAUUUCCUCCAAGUAGGCUCUACCCUGUGAAGUUUCCACCACCUCCAAAAAUAUCUUCACCUGCUGGAGACCAAGAAUUUAAUUCCAGUCUGUGAUGAACAUUUCAUAUAUGAGCCAUAUCAGUAACAUAACAGAGCACAUUAUAUAUGCAUUCCAUAUUAUAGACUUACAUUCUCAAUAACACACCUAAUUGUAAAGACUUGAGAUUCCAACUGAUUUUCAUGAAUAUAAUUGCAACAGAUAAUUACAAGUCAAUGUUCUGUAAUCACAUAUUUUAUAUUCAAAAUACCCUUGGCACCAAAGCCAUAGAGUACCUGCACUAAUGAGUCUAAUGACAAGAGCUAUUUUCAGGCUUCUGAACAGUCUAAUGGUGGCAACCUUGACUGUUACACUAUCUUAUAAGAAUUGUGACUGUUCAUUUCAGUCAACAGCAAGUGUGAAAAUACUUUGUUAAACCAGUUUGUUUGUUUAUACAGAAUACUUUAAAAAGAUAUUGUUUAGCAAUUAGUCCUUUGUUGUAUAUAAUGUAGCAAAGUAUUAAUAGCAUGAAAGUACAAUGGUAAAGCAAAAUAUAUCGCUACUUUCUGAUUCUAACAGAGAGUUACUGGUACACUACACAGGUUGCUGUCUGUGCUACAUUAGGCGUUAAAUAGUUUCUACUAACCCAAGUUACAUAAAUCUAUAUGGCUUGAAUUAUCCUGUGACUGUAUUAAAGUAGAAACUGCAGUCUUUAAUAAGUAACCUUCACACUCUUAAUUUUAUGUAUUAUAAGCAUUUGGUCUAUAAAUAGAAGCAUAUAGUUUCUUCACAGACCAUUUAAUUCGUUUUCAAAGCAAAUGAGUUUAACUGGGUAUUUUGCCUCUAUAUGCGUGCUUCUGUAGGAUUAAAGUGGAUGGUAUUAGUGUUGAGGGUAUAGCUCAGGGCUAGAGCACUCAUGUGGUCUCCUGUGCCAGUUCAUUCAAGGGUACUUCCCAUUUUCUCUUCCAAGAGAUUUUUUAUGGCUGGAUUUAUGUUGAGUUUUUUUAUCCAUUUGGACUUAAGUUUUGUGGAUGGAUAUAUCUGUAAUCUUCUACAUGUCCACAUGCAGUUAUGCCAGCACCAUUUGUUGAAGAUGCUUUCUUUUUUUCAUUGUAUAGUUUUAGCUUCUUUGUCAAAGCUCAGGUGUUCAUGGGUGUGUGGGUUAAUAUCAGGGUCUUCAAUUUGAUUCCAUUGGUCUACCUGUCUAUUUUGUGCUAAUACCAAGCUGUGUACUUUGUAUCCAUUCUGUUAGCCUGUGUCUUUUUAGAGGUGACUUAACACCAUUGAUAUUGAGGGAUAUUAAUGACCAUUGAUUGUUGAUUCUUGUUUGUUUUUGGUGGUGUUAUUGUGUGUGAGUUUUUUCCCUAUUUCUGGCUUUUGGUAAAAUUAGAUUAUCUAUUGCCUAUCUUUUGUGAGGUUGGAGUUUUCCUUCCAGAACUUUCUGUAGGGCUGGAUUUGUGGAUAUGUAUUGUGUAAAUCUGGCUUUGUUAUGGAAUAUCUUGUUUUCUCCAUGUAUAGUGGUUGAGAGCUUUUCUGGGAAUAGUAUUCUGGGCUGGCAUCCUGGUCUCUUAGUGUUUAUAGAACAUCUAUCCAGGACCUUCUGGCUUUCAGAGUUUCCAUGGAGAAGUCAGGUGUAAUUCUGAUAGGUCUGCCUUUAUAGGUUACUUGGCCUUUUUCCUUCUCUGCUCUUAAUAUUCUUUCUUUAUUAUGUAUGUUUGAUGUUUUGAUUAUUUAUGUGGUGAGGGGACUAUUUUUGGUCCAGUCUAUUUGGUGUUCUAUAAGAUUCUUAUAUUUUCAAAGGCAUACCCUUCUUCAGGUUGAGAAAGUUUUCUUCUAUGAUUUUGUUGAAUAUGUUUUCUGCACCUUUGAGCUGGGCUUCUUUGCCUUCUUCUAUACCUAUUAUUCUUAGGUUUGGUCUUUUCACGGUGUCCCAUAUUUCCUGGAUAUUUUGUAUUAAGGAUUUGUUGGUUUUAAAUUUUUCUUUGGUCAAUGAAUAUAUUUCCUCCAGCUUAUCUUUGGCACCUGAGAUUCUCUCUUCCAUCUCUUGUAUUCUGUUGGUUAUGCUUGCAUCUGUGGUUCCUGAUUGUUUACCCAGCUUUUCUAUUUCCAGAAUUCCCUCAGUUUGUGUUUUCUUUAUUGUCUUUAUUUCAGUUUUCAGGACUUGAACUGUUUGAAUUGUUUCCUUCACUUGUUUGAUUGUUUCUUCUUGGCUUUCCUUGCUUUCUUUAAGAGUUGUUGAUUUCUUGCAUUUUCUGGUUUGCUUUUUUCCAUUCUUUAAGGGAUUUUCUCAUAUCCUCUUUGAGGGCCUCUAUCAUUUCAUGAAGUUGUUUUUAAGGCCAUUCUCUUCUGCUUCACCUGUAUUGGGGUGUUCAGGUCUUGCUGGUGUAGAAUCCCUAGACUCUGGUGGUGUCAUAUAAGUCUUUCUGUUGUUGGGUGUGUUGUUAUACUGUUGUCUUCCCAUCUCUUCUUCCAGUGGAUACAGAUGGGGUCUCUCCCUCUCCUGAUGGGUAUGGGUAUCCUCUCUUCUCUCCCAGAGGGUGCAGGGGCAAGACAGGAAUGGUAGUCUAUGCUGGCUGCUUUAUAGUGCCUCCAGGUCCCUCUGGGGGAUUCGGUGGCAGGAAGCUAGCUGAAUCUUGAAGUAGAUCAAUUCCCAACUUUCUGAAGAACUGCCAUAUUGAUUUCCAUAGUGGCUUUAUACAUUUGCACUCUCAUCAGCAAUGGAGGAGCGUGUCUCUUAUUCCACUCUUGGGAAUAUACCCAAAGAACCCUACCACAAGGACACUUGCUCAACCAUGUGCAUUGUUGUCCUAUUUUAAUAGCCAGAAACUGGAAAUAGUCUAGAUAUCCCUCAACAGAAGAAUGGACUUUGUAAAAGCAUAGUACAUGUGCACAAUGGAGUGUUGCUCAGCUCUUUAAAAACAAUAACAUCAUGAAAUUUUCAGGCAAAUGGGUGUAACUAGAAAAAAAAUCAUCCUGAGUGAGGAAUCUUAGUCCCAGAAAGAUAAAUAUAGUAUGUAUCUUAGUCAAUGUUCUAUUGCUAUGAAGAGACACCAUGUGGCAACUCUUAUAAAGGAAAACAUUAAAUUGGGGCUGGCUUACAAUUUUAGAGCUUUAGUGGAUUGUCAGCAUGGCAGGAGGCAUGGCAGCACGCAGAGAGAUAUGGUGCUGGAGGAUCUGAGAGUUCUAAAUCUGUAUCUGAAGGCAGAAGAAAUAAGAGAGGGAGAGCUACUGGGCCUGGCUUGGGCUUCUGAAAACCUAAAGCAUGCCCCCAAUAACACACUUCCUCCAACAAGAUCACAUUUACUACAACAAAGCUGCACCUCCUAAUCCCUGUCAAGCAGCAUUACUCCCUAAUGACCAAGCACUUAAAUAUAUGAGUCAAUGGGUGUCACUCCUAUUCAAACCUCCACAGUGUGUAUUCACCUAUGUAUGGAUAUUAACAGUUAAAUGAAUAAUAACCAACACAUGAUCUGUAGACAGAGAGAGGAUAGGUAUAGAAGAAGGGACUAGGAGUGAUACAUGGAUCUCCCUAGGAAGGAGUAGAAAAUAGAAUAGGUAUUAUUGGUGGGAGGGUGGGAAAAGGAGGAUCAGGUAGGGAGGGAGAGAGGAAAUAUGAUUAAGGAAGGGAAUUCUUGGAGAGACAACUAGAAUUAAGGGGCAUUUGAGAGAUAUGGAAACAUAGUGCUGUGGAAACUUUCUAAAAUAAUGUGAAGGGGCUCCUAAUGAAGUUUCCUAAUACUGGAGGAGAUGGAGUCCCAACUGGCAUCUCUUGUUACCAAAUGAAGCUUCCAGAACUGGGACUGUGUUGCUAUCAAUUGAGUUGUUGGUGAAGGGGAAUCCAUAGAAAUCCACACACAACCCAGGCAAUUGCUAAGAGGAUUGGUUGCUCUCUUCAAACUGACAGCAAGGCCCUAUUGCUGAGGAAACACCUGAACAACUCAUUGAACAUGGAAAAGUUGAGCUAGCCUGUACAUAAAGCCUUCAGUUCUAUGUUCUAGUGUCUUUGAUGUGGGGAGAUACUCUGCAGGUUACCAAAAGAAACAUAAACACUAACCCAACCACAAAACCUUUGACCAACAAUCUGUCCUACCUGCAAGAUAUGUUAGGACAGUGGUAGCACAAACCUUGUGAGAAUAACCAACCAAUAAAUGUCUGAUUUAACUUAAAGCCCACUCCACUAAAUGGAACACAUUGCUAGAGUGACCCAGAACCAGAGAUUAGAAUAGCCCAGAGACCAAACACUACUGCUCUUAAAAAGAAAAUGGCAAUAAAAUGACACCUAAUGGUAUGAUGUAUUCAUAGAUGAGUGUUUUACCCAGUCAUCAUCAGAGAACCUUACUCCUGCAGUAGAUGGGAACAGAUGUUUAGAUCCACAGCCAGACAUUACACACACACACACACACACACACACACACACACACACACACACACAAUGCUUAGUCUAAUGAAAUGUUGUAUUGAAGUAAGAAAAACUGGAAGAACUUCUUUUUAAGAGAAAUAUUUUGUUGUCCGCAUAAAUCUAUAAUCCCAUCACCCAGGGGCUGAACAAAAGGAUCACCAUGAGUUUCACGCUAGCCUGGGUUAUGCAUCAAGUCUCUCUCAUGAAAGGAAGGAAGAAAGGAAGGAAAGAAGGGAGGGAGAGAGGAAGGAAUUUUAAGGAUUAAAAUAAUAAUAAAAAAUUAGUCAGGCAUGCACCAGCACAUUUGUGUUUGAUAAAUCUGUCUUUAUUUCCUACAACAAAUGAAAAGGAUACAGAAUUAACAGCUUGAAAUGGCCACUGCACAAGCUGCUGCCUGGAUAUGCCUCUUUAAGCUGAGAACAUAACUUUCCAGAAAUGAACUCUAUUUUUCUUAUCUGUAUCAUUCCUCUAUAGUCUGGUGUGUCUAGCAGCAAUUUCAAACAGAAAUGUCAUUUUUUUUUUGCAUGGCUUUUUGGCAGAGCAACAGUUUUACUAGGCCAACCAACAAGUGAUACAGGGCAAAGAGUCUGAGAAAAGAAAACUAAAGAGCUAGGCAGAUAGCUAUUGUGAAGCCAAGUUAACAGUGGGUGACAAAAAAUGUGUAUAUAAUACCAGGGUAGGCAUAAGAAGAUAUGCAGUUUGCUAAUAGGUGUGAAUAUAACAUAAAUGCUCGAAGCAAAAGGUGUAAAGUAAGAUGAAAGAUAAAUUAGUCACAUUGCACAGCUGUGGUUCCUGAAAGGACUUGGUGAGAGCCUCACCAAGAAGACUAAGUACAAAAACAGCACACCCCCAAAAUGGAAGAAUUACCACAACAAUUACAAGUAAUCAAAGCCCCUAAGAUGACAAGACCACAUGUCCCUGUUGAGUUAUGGCUGAGGACAGCCUGGAAUUCAAAUUAACAGUUUUGAUACUUAGAAUUCUUCUGUGUUUGACAUCGAGUUGAAGUAAGAAGAACUACAGUUUGCCUUUUAUUCCCAAGAGCUAGACAGUAUGCCUAAGAGGGAAGAUAGAGCAUAAUUUGUCAUCUGAAAGUAGUGUGGGGUAGAGGUAGGGGACUGAUGGAAAAAUCCUUCAAAUAUUUAAGGAUUUUCUGUUCCCUAGUUUAAAAUUGCCCUGUAAUUUUCAUUAUUAACCAAGUUAUUUUACAGUUGCUUAUUGUUGUAGGUGAAGAAUAGCUUGCUGUCUUUUAUUAGACUCUUCCAUCUUUAGUCUACCCCAUCUGUAUUUUAUCUUCUCUACUUCUUCACUGCAGCUGUUGUAAUAACAAUAAUAAUAACAGUCUGAUCAUCAUAAAUGAUUUCUGAUGAAAAGUAAAACCACAAAAUGGGUUUAAUUAACAAUCUUGAGUUCCUCAAGAAUCAAACACUUGCUUCUUCAGAAGCCCUGGGCGAUAACCCAAUAUCCUUGAGCACUUUGUGCCUGUGUGCUCAUCCUAGCUUCCACAUUUCCUGCUGGUUGCAAGGCUGGGAGAACUCUCAUUGCUUUUCUUCUCCAGGAAUCCAUCUAUUCUGUUUUCCCCCAUCAGCAUCUCUUUCUGUGGAGAUCAGAAUUGUUACACCUUCCCAUUAGUUUUCUGAAGAUCUGUGAGGAAAUUCUAGAAUAUUAUAAGGCAUAACUGGGCUGCUUAAGGUUCUAUUUCUUUCUAUUUAAUGCACCAUAAAAAUAGGAGGAAGACCUGUGUAAAGUGGAAAUUGAUGAUUUAAAAUUCCCAUGUGAUUUUGUUCAUUUCAGAAUAAAGUCCAAAUUCCCCCCACCCCACCCCAGAGCUGUAGUCUGGCCAUUGCCUGCAUUGUUCAGGCUUUCCACCUCCAAGAUAAUAUACCAGCAGUGCAGAAAGGGCUCGUUGCUCAGACAGUGAGGCGUGAUUCUCUCCUUACAGACUCCACUGUGCCAAACACCUCAUAGGCAUGCAAUUUCAGGGCCUGCUCCCCAGGACCUUUCCUGUUCUAUGCUUUCCUCUCUGUCAGUAGAGUGGGUAAGGACAGGAGGUGACUGCUUUGCCUAUUCCCUAGAUGUCUAUUACCUGAGCAUAACACCACCAUUGCAUUUUCAUUAUUUGCAUAUAUAUCAUUCUUUACUACUACAUCAUGACUAGGCAUGCAGGGACUUCCAGAACCUCCUAUUGUUAGAUCCAAACCUUUAGCAACUAGCCUAAUGUAUAGCAUAUAAUGAAUAUUUCCUCAAUGAAACAUUAAAUAUAUUGCAUGUAGGCUCAUGUGAAACAUUCAGAUUUGAGGUCCAACUCAGUUUUGCUAAGGGCAUCUCCAUAUAUCUAUGUUCUUCAUUCCAAGUCUCACAGUUCCUCGUCUGAACUUCUAUGGCCCUAUUUUAUGAGGAGUUGCUCUGUUUUGUUUGUUUUUGUAUAUUAUUUUGCUUCUGCUUAGGGAUUUCUCUUGUUCUUAUCAUUUGAAUUUCACUCAAACCUUGCCUAUUUAUACUUUUUAUACUUUAUUUUGGCCUUUCUAAAUCUUAUAUAGAUAGAAUAUGAUUAGUUCAUUUUAAAAAAAUAGGCAACUUAGAAAUAACCUUGAUUUUAGAAUAUAGUGAUCUAUGGAGUUUCAAAUUUCUGUACUUUUAAAGCCAAGUGUUUGUCAACUUCUUUCCCACAAUCACAAAUGUCCCUAUCUUUUUAUCCUGAAAUUAAGGUACACAGACAAAUAACACACCCAAGGAAAGAACCUUUUGACUGUCUAUAAAGUACUUCACUAAAUGUCACUUGCUCUAGUUACAGGAUUAAUGCAGAAGAUGAUUGUCUAUAGGGUACGUUUAAAUAUCUCUGAGUAUGACCCUUCACUGUUUAAAGGCUCAAGGCAAAGACUAUGUAUAAAGUACCCUGUAAGAAAAAAACAGCACACCAAUCAAGUGGAAGCAAGCUUUGAGGCACAAAUAAUAUAAUCAUGUAACAUCUUUAUAUUGUGAGUGUGUGUGUGUGUGUGUGUG
RNAcentral lists this long non-coding RNA (10157 nucleotides) under Cricetulus griseus (Chinese hamster). Its description in RNAcentral is "lncRNA (ENSCGRG00015040740.1)". The record is from RNAcentral. Lineage: Eukaryota; Metazoa; Chordata; Mammalia; Rodentia; Cricetidae.